GCAGUGGCGACGUGCUGUUAUGGCCCGGUGCUGAAUGAUUUCUUCGUGUUUACAGGAUUACCUGCAUCACUACUGACGCGCAACGCAACAUAUCAAGAGACCGGAACCACACUUCUGGAAACUACCGAGAAGAUUACACCAAUCAACGUGACCCCUACGUCACCACGAAACGCCUACAAAAGGAGCCUGACAUCGAUGGAACAGACCACACUUACUCGGCAGCAGUGGCGACGUGCUGUUAUGGCCCGGUGCUGAAUGAUUUCUUCGUGUUUACAGGAUUACCUGCAUCACUACUGACGCGCAACGCAACAUAUCAAGAGACCGGAACCACACUUCUGGAAACUACCGAGAAGAUUACACCAAUCAACGUGACCCCUACGUCACCAUGAAAUGCCUACAAAAGGAGCCUGACAUCGAUGGAACAGACCACACUUACUCGGCAGCAGUGGCGACGUGCUGUUAUGGCCCGGUGCUGAAUGAUUUCUUCGUGUUUACAGCUCGCCCCAUCUUAUCAAACGUGCUCAUUGUUCUUGGCACGUCAGCGACGAUGACGCUACUGUCCGUCAACGGAUCGAUUCGUGCAUUGGUCUCAGUAGACCACCUGCAGUGUUGCUGUGUCCGGCUGCUUACCAGAUCUUCAUCCAACCAACCCUGGCAGCAUCCCUCGAUGCAGAAAUAGAAUACGAACCGCCAAUGACAUCAACUCAUCAAGCUGAAAGAGCAGGCGCUGCUGGAGGCACUUGGUGUGCCCUUGCUGUGCGUCAACACAGCGUGCUAAAUCACUCAUGUUCCCAAUGCAGCCCUACAAGUUGUUCCUAGUUUUUUUUGUG
Molecule: long non-coding RNA, 830 nt
Organism: Rhipicephalus microplus (southern cattle tick)
Lineage: Eukaryota; Metazoa; Arthropoda; Arachnida; Ixodida; Ixodidae
Source: RefSeq, a predicted model, not a curated record